RNAcentral lists this ribosomal RNA (468 nucleotides) under uncultured bacterium. Its description in RNAcentral is "partial 16S ribosomal RNA". It matches the Rfam family "Bacterial small subunit ribosomal RNA", at positions 28 to 507 of the family's 1533-position model. The record is from RNAcentral.
GACGAACGCUGGCGGCGUGCUUAACACAUGCAAGUCGAACGGAAAGGCCCUGCUUUUGUGGGGUGCUCGAGUGGCGAACGGGUGAGUAACACGUGAGUAACCUGCCCUUGACUUUGGGAUAACUUCAGGAAACUGGGGCUAAUACCGGAUAGGAGCUCCUGCUGCAUGGUGGGGGUUGGAAAGUUUCGGCGGUUGGGGAUGGACUCGCGGCUUAUCAGCUUGUUGGUGGGGUAGUGGCUUACCAAGGCUUUGACGGGUAGCCGGCCUGAGAGGGUGACCGGCAACAUUGGGAUUGAGAUACGGCCCAGACUCCUACGGGAGGCAGCAGUGGGGAAUAUUGCACAAUGGGCGGAAGCCUGAUGCAGCAACGCCGCGUGCGGGAUGACGGCCUUCGGGUUGUAAACCGCUUUCGCCUGUGACGAAGCGCGAGUGACGGUAAUGGGUAAAGAAGCACCGGCUAACUACGUG